RNAcentral lists this ribosomal RNA (959 nucleotides) under Strongyloides vituli. Its description in RNAcentral is "16S ribosomal RNA". Lineage: Eukaryota; Metazoa; Nematoda; Chromadorea; Rhabditida; Strongyloididae. The record is from RNAcentral.
UGUAAUGUUGUAUAUAUAUUGGGAUUGCAUCCCAUUGGAGGAAAAUUUACACAGCAGUGUAAUAUUGAAACAUAGGGUAAGAUGUCUGUUUUGUGUUAAUGUUACAAAUUAACUUUUAACAGAUAUGGUGCUGAAAUAUCGUCCUAUGAGAUAUCAGUUUUUUUUAUAUAUACUAGAAAAUUGUAACUUUAGUUUUACCAUGUUUCGGUGUUCAGGGUUAGUAGUAUCUAUGUUACUAGUGUUACAACUAUACCGGGGUUUAGGUUCUAUUUUUAUUUAUAUACUAUAAAGCAUUAUAGUAUAAAUUAUCUCCAAAUUAGUAGAUUUGUUAAAUUAUGUAGGUGUUUGAAAUAUAAUAAGAGAACUCAGAAGCGAGAUCAAAUGUUUAUUAAAGACUUAGGGUAUCUAGUAUACCUGACUUCUGCCCGAUGUAUUUAGGUAUCAAUGGCAGACUUAGCGUGAGGUCAUUAAGGUAGCAAAAUCAUUUGUUUCUUUAUUGGAUUCCAGUAUGAAUGAAGGUUUGGUUAGUGUUCUUUCUUUUUUUUUAUCGAACUUAUUAUCCAUCUAAGAAAUGAUGGGUGCAGUAUUACAAAGAUAAGUCUUCGGAAACUCUAUUGUCAUAUAUUCAUAUGUUUGUAUGAUAAGUUCACUAGGGAAGUUAAUUAUAUAAUCAUUUUUUUCCUGUUUUCAUAAUAAAGAGUUACUUCGGAGUUAACAGAAAUUCAUACCUGAUGCAGUCCUUAUGUUAGGGUAAGUUUUACAUCGAUGUUGUAUCUCCACGUACCAGGAAAGAAUAAGGCUUGGUAAUUCAGACUGUUCUUCUAUGAGAUAGUGGGACGUGAUAUUAGUUUAAUUCGACGUAAGUCAGAAUUGUUUAUCUUGAGUAUUGCUUAAUUAUAGUAUGAUUAGUACGAAAGGAAUUUCACUAAAGUAUUAUACUAUUUUAAUAAAUCUUUUUA